RNAcentral lists this ribosomal RNA (253 nucleotides) under uncultured bacterium. RNAcentral describes it as "partial 16S ribosomal RNA". It matches the Rfam family "Bacterial small subunit ribosomal RNA", at positions 524 to 776 of the family's 1533-position model. The record is from RNAcentral.
AACGUAGGACGCAAACGUUAUCCGGAAUUACUGGGCGUAAAGGGCGCGCAGGCGGUUGGGUAAGAGAGGCAUGAAAGCUUCAGGCUAAACCUGGAGAGGCUGUCUGAGACUGCCCGACUGGAGUGCGAUAGAGGGAUGUGGAAUUCCGCGUGUAGUGGUGAAAUGCGUAGAGAUGCGGAGGAACACCAGUGGCGAAGGCGGCAUCCUGGAUCGCAACUGACGCUGAGGCGCGAAAGCAUGGGUAGCGAACGGG